RNAcentral lists this ribosomal RNA (465 nucleotides) under uncultured bacterium. RNAcentral describes it as "partial 16S ribosomal RNA". It matches the Rfam family "Bacterial small subunit ribosomal RNA", at positions 338 to 795 of the family's 1533-position model. The record is from RNAcentral.
CCUACGGGAGGCAGCAGUAGGGAAUUUUCGUCAAUGGGCGCAAGCCUGAACGAGCGAUGCCGCGUGAGUGAAGAAGGCCUUCGGGUCGUAAAGCUCUGUUGCGGGGGAAAAAAGGCAGCAUCAGGAAAUGGGUGCUGACUGAUGGUGCCCCGCCAGAAAGUCACGGCUAACUACGUGCCAGCAGCCGCGGUAAUACGUAGGUGGCGAGCGUUAUCCGGAAUGGUUGGGCGUAAAGGGUGCGCAGGCGGUCCUGCAAGUCUGGAGUGAAACGCAUGAGCUCAACUCAUGCAUGGCUUUGGAAACUGGAGGACUGGAGAGCAGGAGAGGGCGGUGGAACGCCAUGUGUAGCGGUAAAAUGCGUAGAUAUAUGGAAGAACACCAGUGGCGAAGGCGGCCGCCUGGCCUGUUGCUGACGCUGAGGCACGAAAGCGUGGGGAGCAAAUAGGAUUAGAUACCCCAGUAGUC